ACCCAGAUGAUGAGUCCCAAGCAGGACGAAAUGAGCCUCCUGGAU
Molecule: non-coding RNA, 45 nt
Filed under: Schistosoma margrebowiei
Lineage: Eukaryota; Metazoa; Platyhelminthes; Trematoda; Strigeidida; Schistosomatidae
Source: RNAcentral